Molecule: ribosomal RNA, 484 nt
Filed under: uncultured bacterium
Lineage: Bacteria
Description: bacterial SSU rRNA
Rfam family: Bacterial small subunit ribosomal RNA
Source: RNAcentral
GACGAACGCUGGCGGCGUGCCUAACACAUGCAAGUCGAGCGAGAAUUUACUGACGGAACCCUUUUGGGUGAAGAUAGUGAAGGAAAGCGGCGGACGGGUGAGUAACGCGUGAGUAACCUGCCUUCAGGGAGGGGGACAACAUUCCGAAAGGGAUGCUAAUACCGCAUAACAUAUUCGAAUCGCAUGGUUUGAAUAUCAAAGAUUUAUCGCCUGAAGAUGGACUCGCGUCUGAUUAGAUAGUUGGUGGGGUAACGGCGUCACCAAGUCGACGAUCAGUAGCCGAACUGAGAGGUUGAACGGCCACAUUGGAACUGAGAUACGGUCCAGACUCCUACGGGAGGCAGCAGUGGGGAAUAUUGGGCAAUGGGCGCAAGGCCUGACCCAGCAACGCCGUGUGAAGGAAGAAGGGUCUUCGGGAUUGUAAACUUUGUCUUAUGGGACGAUAAUGACGGUACCAUAGGAGGAAGUCACGACUAACUACGUG